AGAGUUGCUGGUCCCUGUCUGCAUCUAUGCAGACACACCACACCUAGGAAUCAGCCGAACGCCGAGCCAAAUGCCCAGUGGAAAGAGCCGCCUGAAGGUGUUGUAAAACUGAACACUGACGCUGCCUUUUUGUCAGGCACGGGCCAAGCCUAGGCUGGCGCGAUCGCACGGGAUCAUACGGGGCAUGUUGUCUUCUCGGCGAGUAAAUCGAUGAAUAAAUGCAGAUCAGUUGAAGAGGCAGAGGGGCAAGCUAUCCUGAUGGGUCUGGUAUCGCUGUCGAGACCGUACCAAGGCCCACUGAUCAUUGAGACUGACAUCAAAAUGAUUGCAAAUGAAUUGGGACAAGCCAGAUCAAGCCGAUCGGAUUGUUUUCUGGGUUGUCAGUGAGAUAAAAAACACAAGCCGGAUCUUCAGUUCAGGCCAAGGCUAUGAAAAGGGAACAAAACUGUCUAGCACAUGAGCUUGGCUGCCAGAGCUAGACGGCAUCAGGACUCACUGAUAAUUGCGGACGUGCCCGAGGAGCUUCGUUCGCUGAUGCUAUCUGAAUGUACCAAGUGAUGUGUUUGGUCCUUUUUUAGGCUAUCUUGAACGAUUGCAGGUUUUAAUCAAGAAGUCCUCAAUAGGUGGACUGGCUCAAAAUGGAGAAGCACGCUGGUAGCUUUUUGGUUGAUUGUAUUAAGCAUUUAAGUUCGUAGCAAUUCAUACCAUCAAUAUCUUUGGGGGUGCCUUGUACUCCUUCCGUAAAAUAAUACAAGAGCGUAGUGAUCUAAACGCUCUUAUAUUAUAGUUUACAGAGGGAGUAAUAUUUUAGAAAAUUAUGCCUUUUUUGGCCUAAUGUGGCGUGCUGUCCAUAGACAUCCUUACCCCAUUUCCUCCUCACAUAUGGCUUGGGUUUUGGGAUAGCAAGACAUACGAAGACAAUUUGGGGGUGCCGAUUCUCUCUCUCCCUCUUGCUAAUAGAAUUAUGAACAACCGGUAAGACUAAUAUUAUAGACCAUGUAUUCUUUGACUUUUGUGCUGACACAGGAAAAAUGUGUUGUAAACUUGUGAGUUGUGCCUUA
Aegilops tauschii subsp. strangulata is the source of this 1061-nucleotide non-coding RNA. NCBI's taxonomy places the organism in Eukaryota, Viridiplantae, Streptophyta, Magnoliopsida, Poales, Poaceae. The record is from RefSeq and is a predicted model, not a curated record.